Molecule: non-coding RNA, 26 nt
Filed under: Mus musculus (house mouse)
Lineage: Eukaryota; Metazoa; Chordata; Mammalia; Rodentia; Muridae
Source: RNAcentral
UGGAGAUUUGCCCCUGCUGCCCUGAA